UCAGCCUGCAUGUGUGCCUGCAGGCUAGAAGAGGGCACCAGAUCUCAUUACAGAUGGUUGUGAACCACCAUGUGGUUGCUGGGAAUUGAACUCAGGACCUCUGGAUGAACAGCCACUGCUCUUAACCUCUGAGCCACCUCUCCAGCCCUUGUUUUUUUUUUAAAGUAGGAUCUAGGGAUCAAUCACACCUUCAUGUUUGUGGCAAGCACUUUACUGUCGUUGGGGAGCUAACUCCUCAACUCUUUUAUUUUCUUAAAUGUUGAGAAACUGUUAUCAUUAAGACCUGAGCUCAUUUUGUACCACAGCCAGGCCCUGAACUUUGGAUCCUCUGCCUCAGCCUUCCAAAUAGCUGGGAUUAAAGGCUAGCAGGUCUAGCUUCACCUCAGUAAUUUUAAAGAGAAUUUAGUUCUUCUGAAAACCUCUGAGAAUCUGUACUAGCCAAAUGUCACUCCCAAGUCUCAAACUCAAGGUCUUAUGUGGAAACCAGAUACUCACCUGCAGAUUGGAGAGUUGUGUGAAGGCCUUCUCACAGCCCGGGUGUGCACAUUUGUAUGGUCUAUCACCGGUGUGGAUUCUGCAGAGGAUGAAAAAAGGAGUACGGCCAUCAGCAAGGUCACUAUAGAUUAGCUCCGUACCAGACUCAGGUUCUUCAGGUUGUCUCCUGAGGAAGCUGCUCAGAUGCACCUGCAUGAGGCACUAGCUUUAGCUCCUCUCUGACCUGGAGUGGUUUCAAGUGCCUGAUUUCUGGUCACUGUCUGUAGCACUGAGCUCAAGGAGAGCCUCAUUGUGCUGGGAGAAAAGGGACUGAGGCCUCGGCAUCCAGGACACAGGCAGAUCAUGAUUUGGUAUAUAAAUCUGCUCCUACAGUAACCAUCCCGCAGUGAAUGUUCAGAAACAAAAGGUAACUACAAUUGUAAGGAAAAAAGAAAAAUACAUAACACUUCCUCCUUGGUCCCCAGAAACUGUUCCUUCAACCUUGAGCAUCAUAGCCAGAGAUAGUUCUGAAAUCAAAGGACAAGUUACAAUGAUUGUUGAAAGUAGUGGUGACAUUAGUGGAAACUCAUGGAAAUUCCUAGGGAUUUUUUCCCCCAGUUUAAGCCCUUACCAACAGGAAAUCCUGAGGUUAGAACCAAUCUAACCUUCCCUACACCACAGGGAAUCUUGAGCUUAUCUACUAAGAUAAGCUCAAGACAGGAGGAUGUACCAACACCUGCUCCUUUUCAGGGACUUCAGAACCAUCUGUGAUAAAGCCUCAAAUGUAUGAAGACAGUAAACUCAAGACAGUGUCUGAUCACUUUUGGUGACGGCUAAAGAGAUGGAGAUGGAAAGUACCAGAACUGUUUGGAGGGGCUUUCCCAACCCAUAUCUGAUCUCUACCCCAUAGCUGAUGUUCCAUUAAUCACCUGCCCUGCUCCCAGUCUCAAGCCAAUCAAAUCAGACCCACUUUUGAAACAAGCCAAGGUAACGGUUAGUAGUAGAUUAUAAUCCUUAAAACUUAACAAGAAAAAAGAAUUGAAAAGUAAUGACACUCUAUGCUAAACCUUUCCUUUUUCUUAGCACAUGGAGACAAUGCUGCCACCCCUGGGUUAAUGAACAGCACCUGAAUACCCUUUUUCUAGUCACCUGACUCAGUGGAUGCUUCCUGUUCUGACACUACUCAACAAUAUCAAAUGAGGAGGUCUCUCUCAGAGUUAAGCCAUAUCCUCUUAGACUUUGCUGAGUACAAGCUUUCUAUACCUGAGUUAGAAACAGCUUGCCAGGGCACACUGUGAGUUAGCAGAAAGGGAGGUGGUCUGAAGCCAGGCCACGGGGGUAAGCUGCUCUCCUCUCCACCUUAUCUUUGUAAACUGGGCAUCAAAGGGUAUGGGAUGAUGAUUCUUGCAUUCUUUUCAUUUCAGAAGAAUGUUUUGAAAAUAGCUGUGAUCGAGACUAGAACAAAUUCCCUCUGAGAAAAUGGUAUCACUGUUGUGGUCUCUGUAUUAAUGCUUUCACUAAGAUCCUAGUGACUGAUAACCAAUUUUCAAAGUCUGAAGAAAACUCUGACUACCAGUUUAUCAGUCAUUGGCUAUCGAAUGAGACACCCAAACACUGCAGGAAAGAUCAGCAUGGUCCAAAGUAAAGAGUCAAUGGGAGUCCAGACACCCGGCUCUAGUCCAACAGAGUCAGUUGCAGGUUGCCCGUUAACCUACAUCUCAGUCUUCUGCUCUUUAAAAUGAAGAUACUCACUUUUGCCUCUAGAAGGGCCAGCAAGCACCCAGGACCAUCAAAGGUAAGCUAAAUGUUCUUUAUUAAUAAAAUGCCAUUAUUGCUAACA
This is a long non-coding RNA of Peromyscus eremicus (cactus mouse), 2314 nucleotides long. RefSeq lists it as uncharacterized. The transcript has 2 exons. The record is from RefSeq and is a predicted model, not a curated record. Lineage: Eukaryota; Metazoa; Chordata; Mammalia; Rodentia; Cricetidae.